GUGGAUCACUGGAACAAUGAGAAGGAGCGGCUGGUGCUGGUCACGGAGCAGUCCCUGCUUAUCUGUAAAUACGACUUCAUCAGUCUCCAGUGCCAGCAGGUGGUGCGGAUAGCGCUCAACGCAGUAGACACCAUUUCCUACGGAGAAUUCCAGUUUCCCCCUAAAUCGCUCAACAAGCGAGAAGGUUUUGGGAUUCGAAUUCAGUGGGACAAGCAAAGUCGUCCUUCCUUCAUAAACAGAUGGAAUCCCUGGUCUACCAACGUGCCCUAUGCCACUUUCACAGAACACCCGAUGGCUGGCGCAGAUGAGAAGACAGCAUCUCUUUGGAAAGCUUCAAGGCUCUGUUAAUCCAAGCUGUCAAAAAAGCCCAAAAAGAAAGCCCUUUGCCAGGACAGGCGAAUGGCGUGCUGAUCCUGGAGCGCCCCCUGCUCAUCGAGACCUACGUGGGACUCAUGUCCUUCAUUAACAACGAGGCGAAACUGGGCUACUCCAUGACCAGGGGCAAAAUAGGCUUUUAGCCGCUGCGUUCUGGGAGCUCCUCCCCCUUCUGGGAGCUCCUCCCCCUCCCCAGAAGGCCAAGGGAUGUGGGGGCUGGGGGACUGGGAGGCCUGGCAGUCUUCAUGCUGCCCUGCUGCUGCUGGAAGGAUGGGGAUCUUUCACCUUUAGGGAUCUCAGCACAAUUAGAAUCGUAAAGUGAAUUCUAUCUAUUUAAUUGGAUAUUGGACUCUGCUCAUAUAAGCUACAGACAAAAGCCAAAAGACUCUCGCUGUCCCUGUGCUGCUGGUAUUUCAUUCUCUGUAACUUCAGUUCUGGUGUUUUCCUUGAGUAUCUACUUGGCUUCUCGUGGUUUUUCCCACCCCAGCUGCCCCAGCACGCGGGACCCAUAGCACACCCCUUAGCGCUUGCCUAGGUUGCUGAAAACAGGGAGGCACCUGGUAUCUCGAGUGCCUGCAGUUGCAAGUAUGUUUACACCUGGUGUCCAAUUUUGUAUUUUAAAAUGUAAUCCAUUUUUACUUCAGCUCAUCCAAAAGCAGCCAGCAGACCGGUUGACUGAGACCGGUCUGUGGCUGUGGGCCCCUUGGUGACCCGCUGCUCUUUUGGAAAUGGGUGACCUGAAGUGACACUUUUUCCACAAUUAACCCAAGUUGUGUUAAUACUUCAGGUCUGUUUCCCAGACCCAGAAAGCUUUACAGAAAAUCAUUGUAAGACAAUUUAUUAAUUUGAGAAAGUCACCUUGACAGUUCUUUGCACACAAGUUUUACACCUCUCUGGAUUCGAAGUUUGUAUUGUAUUCAUAGUUAAAGGGAAUCGGGUACUUUGCUUGUUGAAUAAUGCACUUUAAAACAAGGAACCGUAUCAGGCCAGCAUGGUGGCUCAUGCCUGUAAUCCCAGCAUUUUGGGAGGCUCAGGCAGACAAAUCGCUCUAGCUCAGAAGUUGCAGAGCAGCCUGGGCAACAUGGUGAAACCCGUCUCUACCAAACAGACAAAAAGCAGCCAGGCGUGGUGGCACAUCUGUGGUCCCAGCUACUUGAGAGGCUGAGCCAGGAGGAUCGCUUGAGCCCAGGAGGCGGAGGUUGCAGUGAGCUGAGAUGGCACCACUUAUUGCACUCCAGCCCGGGCGACAGAGCGAGACUCCAUCUACCAGAUCCUUAUGACGCAGCUGAUGCCUGCCUUGGUUCCUACCACUCUGGUGUAGACAGAGGACUUUGUCCAAGUCUCACACUAAACAUGCCCGGGCUUCGAUGUGCCUGGAGGAUUUCCCCACAGGGACCCACGCACCUCCCUGUAUCUGCGCAGCUUGCUCGUGUGGCUGGAAGCGCUGUCGAUAAGCUUCACGCACUGGCUUGCCAGUUCUUCAGCUCUAGGACUUGUAGCUUUAAGCAAACGGUGUGGCAUGGGUUGAGUGUGGCCACCUGCAGGAUGUGCAGGGCUGCCUCAGAAGCUGGCUGGGGACUCUAGCCUCUGUGUUCAUAAAGACAUUAAGA
This 1985-nucleotide long non-coding RNA is filed under the name Homo sapiens (human). Its description in RNAcentral is "HSALNT0000737". Lineage: Eukaryota; Metazoa; Chordata; Mammalia; Primates; Hominidae. The record is from RNAcentral.